This 253-nucleotide ribosomal RNA is filed under the name uncultured bacterium. RNAcentral's name for it is "partial 16S ribosomal RNA". It matches the Rfam family "Bacterial small subunit ribosomal RNA", at positions 524 to 776 of the family's 1533-position model. The record is from RNAcentral.
UACGUAGGGUGCAAGCGUUGUCCGGAAUUAUUGGGCGUAAAGAGCUCGUAGGCGGUUCGUCACGUCGGGAGUGAAAACUCGGGGCUUAACCCCGAGCCUGCUUCCGAUACGGGCAGACUAGAGGUAGGCAGGGGAGAGCGGAACUCCUGGUGUAGCGGUGGAAUGCGCAGAUAUCAGGAGGAACACCGGUGGCGAAGGCGGCUUGCUGGGCCAGUUCUGACGCUGAGGAGCGAAAGCGUGGGGAGCGAACAGG